This 441-nucleotide ribosomal RNA is filed under the name uncultured bacterium. Its description in RNAcentral is "partial 16S ribosomal RNA". It matches the Rfam family "Bacterial small subunit ribosomal RNA", at positions 338 to 795 of the family's 1533-position model. The record is from RNAcentral.
CCUACGGGAGGCAGCAGUGGGGAAUAUUGCACAAUGGGGGAAACCCUGAUGCAGCAACGCCGCGUGAAGGAAGACGGUUUUCGGAUUGUAAAAUUCUGUUCUUAGUGAAGAAUAAUGACGGUAGCUAAGGAGCAAGCCACGGCUAACUACGUGCCAGCAGCCGCGGUAAUACGUAGGUGGCAAGCGGUGUCCGGCAUUACUGGGUGUAAGGGGAGCGCAGGCGGGAAGCUAAGUCAGCUGUGAAAACUACGGUCUUACCUUGUAGACUGCAGUUGAAACUGGUUUUCUUGAGUGAAGUAGAGGUUGGCGGAAUUCCGAGUGUAGCGGUGAAAUGCGUAGAUAUUCGGAGGAACACCGGUGGCGAAGGCGACCAACUGGUCUUUAACUGACGCUGAGGCUCGAAAGUGUGGGGAGCAAACAGGAUUAGAUACCCCUGUAGUC